GUGGGGAAUAUUGGACAAUGGGCGCAAGCCUGAUCCAGCCAUGCCGCGUGAGUGAUGAAGGCCUUAGGGUUGUAAAGCUCUUUCAGUGGGGACGAUAAUGACGGUACCCACAGAAGAAGCCCCGGCUAACUUCGUGCCAGCAGCCGCGGUAAUACGAAGGGGGCUAGCGUUGUUCGGAAUUACUGGGCGUAAAGCGCACGUAGGCGGACUGGAAAGUCAGGGGUGAAAUCCCGGGGCUCAACCCCGGAACUGCCUUUGAAACUCCCAGUCUUGAGGUCGAGAGAGGUGAGUGGAAUUCCGAGUGUAGAGGUGAAAUUCGUAGAUAUUCGGAGGAACACCAGUGGCGAAGGCGGCUCACUGGCUCGAUACUGACGCUGAGGUGCGAAAGCGUGGGGAGCAAACAGGAUUAGAUACCCGUGUAGUCC
Molecule: ribosomal RNA, 425 nt
Filed under: uncultured bacterium
Lineage: Bacteria
Description: bacterial SSU rRNA
Rfam family: Bacterial small subunit ribosomal RNA
Source: RNAcentral